Long non-coding RNA from Musa acuminata subsp. malaccensis (wild Malaysian banana), 1565 nucleotides. RefSeq lists it as uncharacterized. The record is from RefSeq and is a predicted model, not a curated record. Lineage: Eukaryota; Viridiplantae; Streptophyta; Magnoliopsida; Zingiberales; Musaceae.
AUGUGUGUGGUUACUUUUGCCACCGCCUACCUGCCGUCGCUUUCAGCUGCUUCCAACUCCCAUGAACUUAAGAGACGGCUUAUCCUCUCUCCCCUUGCCAACAUGAUGAACAGCUUCUCAUCUUUAAAAGGGAUCCAUUAAUCCUUCCUCUCACAAAUGUUCAGAUCAGCCUGCGACCAGUCUCCUCUCUAUGUGUCUUUCGCUUAGUUUAUGCUGUUUCUCCCCUCUCUCUCUCUCUCUCUCUCUCUCUUUCUCUCUCUUUCUCCCCCUCUCUCCCUCUUCUUUCUUGUUCCUAGUACAUGCAUAUGCUGGCUUGAUUGUUGUGUUCUUCCAUCUUUGAUAUGCUUCUUCAUGAUUUAUGCUGGUUUUGUUCCUCAGCUGAUUAAAGGAAAAAAAUUUCUUUUUCCUUAUUUUUCGGGACCUGCAGAAAUGGGGUCUACUCUUUUCUUUUGUUGUUGUUUUUCUCCGUUUCACGUCCGAUUUGUUUUUCUCUCAGUACUUACACUGCUGGUUGAUGGAUGGAACUAUUGAAAGUUCAUCCUCUCUCUCUCAAAGGAGGCUAUCACAUCAACACUGUUCUUUGUAUGAAAGUCUAGGGUUUCUAAGAAUCUUUGGAGGAGAUGACAUGCACUUUAUAUCAUGCCAUCAUCUAUGAUAUCUCUCCUUGAUUUCUGAUCAUGUUUUCGGGAGUGUAUUUGUUGAGCUGCCUUUUCCCUGUGGACAUCUGUGAAGCUUUGCCCGGUGGAGGAUAAAAAUUAGGGUUUCGACGAGCCCCAUCUACAGUAUAUGUUUUCUGAACUCUUGGUCUCUGUAACCUCCAUCGCUGAGAAGAAUUGUGAAGGCAAGACUGCAAAAAGAUUCUGCUUUGCAAUCUAUGCACCUUGAAUCUGAGUAAGUAAUACGCCCCUCUCACUUAUGGGAAACCUUCAACGUGCUCCUGCCAUUUGAUCUCUACCAUCUUGAAACUUGAGCCGGGUAUAAUUAAAACCUGCACUUGUAGAUUCUUUUUCGAGGCCUCGCACUGAUGUCUCCACGACAGUAGCACAGAUCUGAAAAGAUUCAGGAUGCUCCUCGUGGAUCAACAGUGAAAGUACAGUUUCAUUCAGACCUACAACUUAAUUUAAAUGCUAUCAGUGCCGUCUGCAUAUGGUUCUUCAGAAUAUUUUUUCUAUUCCUACAACAUGCACUCUCUCUCUCUCUCUCUCUAUAUGUGGAAAUUAAAUGUCACUGCUCUCUUCAGAGCAUUGCCUGGAAAGGUGGUGUUGUUUCAGCCAGAUCAUGGCGGUGGUAUUUGUGAUUGGAAGUGAUGAAAGUACACAACACUUCACUAAUUUACUCACUGGAUACUGAGGUGUGUCCUCUGCAGAAUUCACAUAUUCCCUUGAAGAAGACCAUGGGAUAGGCUUGCAAUGGCCGCCAGUGUGCUCCUUUUAUAUAAGGGAUGUUGCCAAAGAUAGAAAGAGAGGUCAAUGUAAUGCCAAAUCUCCACAUAGUUUUGCAAUGGAAAGACUUACCCUUAUGGGAAAACGUCUUUAUAUAAGUAAAGCUUUAUUUUCAUUAGUCAA